UCAAAUAUUUCAAAAUUUGACACUAUCCCAAAAACGGAACUUCUACAAUGCUUUUCGACACCAUCGCUCCCGUGGAUCUAUGGACUCUGGCUGUGACUUCCUUGAUAAUGGAAACUGAAGUUUACUUUCUCUAAACCAUGUUCCAUGUAUCCCAUUUAUGAUAUGCAUAUAGAUAUAUGAUUCUUCUUUUGCUUUACUGUGCAAUGUAGAGAUAGAGUGUACAGUAUAUGUUGGUGAUUAUGAUAUUUGAACCCCAAAUUCCCAAAACCAUGUAGCUUAAUGUUUAAAAUUCAAAUCAGUGUUUGAGUUUCAUUAAAGAUGAUACAGACAUUAAGUGCUCCCAUUACUGUGCCACAACUAUGCAGGAUAAUCAACUGUCUUAACAGUAGUGUUGGAGGUCUGCAUUAAUGCUUAUACAAUAUACAUUGAACUAAUAGUACAGCAAUCUUAACAGGCUUUUUGCAAUAACUGACAGACAGUGAAAAAAAAAAAAAAAAAUGGUGGGAGGGAGAUUUAUGCACAAGCAUAUAGUGUAUAUUUUUUCACUAGGUAAUGCUAAGCAUUUAUUGAAAAUUAUUAUUUUGUAAGUCUAAUUUGUAUUUGUUUCAUAUAUAUAUAUAUAUGGAUAUAUUUGAUAAAGAGCUUUAAGUAUGUCACAUUAUUAGAAAACUAUUGGUAAUUGAUCAUGUUUCUAUUGUAUUUUCUUGUUACUGCAUGUUUAAAAGAGCUAUCAGAUUUUACCACAUUGUUAUUAUGCCUAUUUGUCAUUGUAAUUGUAUGAAAUUUAGUGCUUAUUGUAUUAUAUAGAAAAUAUAGAAAAUUUUCAUAAAAUGACUAUAUGUUAUCAAAAAUAUUCCAAUACUAUGUUCAUCUGCCAUGUUAGCACUGAAUAAAUUGAUAAACA
RNAcentral lists this long non-coding RNA (904 nucleotides) under Penaeus japonicus. Its description in RNAcentral is "uncharacterized LOC122255949". Lineage: Eukaryota; Metazoa; Arthropoda; Malacostraca; Decapoda; Penaeidae. The record is from RNAcentral.